CUGCUGGGGACAAGAGGAGAGGACCUCUAUCAAAGAAAGGAUAUGACUGCUUCUUGGGGUUGACAGGAUUAUGAUAACAUGUGACAGUGAAAAAGCUUUAAUAAUCAAGACUUCUCUGUUCUCUCUUCCAAGGAGAAUGAUCUCUGAACUGGGAAAUAAAAUGAACUGGACAAAACAAAAAAUGGAUAGCAGCUCCAGUACUGUAAGGUUCUAAGCAACUAUGGGGCAGAGUCAGCAUCCGGAGCACCAGCAGAGAACAUCUUACUUCACUUUGUCCCAACGUGCCAGUUAUGGAAGUUUGUGUAAAGGAGCGGUUACGCUCUUCACUUUCUAACAGAAGCAACUAUCCCCCUUUGACACACUAUUCAGGUACCCUGUCUACCUUAACUGCACUAACCCUGAAACAAAUCAUUCAAGAAUAAGGAAUGCCAAGGAAAUGAGCAGGACCUUUUGGCAGGCCAGUUCGGCCCAGCCAAGCAUUUUUGGUUGAUAAGUGACCACCAGUGCAAGUGAAGACUUCACAGAAGUAUUUGGAGAGGGGAGAGAAGAAUCAUAAAUUAAAUUCAAGAUUUAAAUGAAAAGAAAGAAUUUGAGCAAACCAGUGAAAUAUUGCAUUAAAGUAAAGGAAAUCUCAAAAUAAUUGCUUAUUUUUCUCUAAACAGAGUGAUACUGUGAUCAAUAUUAAAUAUUUGAUUAAUGUAUUCAGAUGAUUUAAAACAAACAGCUUCACAUGAGUGUAUAGGCAUUAUAUGUACUAUAUAUUGUCAUGUUAUAUAAUAUAUAAUAAAUAUAUGUUAUGUAUGAUCUUGUGCA
Molecule: long non-coding RNA, 813 nt
Filed under: Monodelphis domestica (gray short-tailed opossum)
Lineage: Eukaryota; Metazoa; Chordata; Mammalia; Didelphimorphia; Didelphidae
Description: lncRNA (ENSMODG00000031926.2)
Source: RNAcentral